CCUACGGGUGGCACCAGUGGGGAAUAUUGGACAAUGGGGGCAACCCUGAUCCAGCCAUGCCGCGUGUGUGAAGAAGGUCUUCGGAUUGUAAAGCACUUUAAGUUGGGAGGAAGGGGCAAAGUAACGACUUGCCUUUGACGUUACCAACAGAAUAAGCACCGGCUAACUUCGUGCCAGCAGCCGCGGUAAUACGAAGGGUGCAAGCGUUAAUCGGAAUAACUGGGCGUAAAGCGCGCGUAGGCGGUUUAUCAAGUUGGAUGUGAAAUCCCUGGGCUCAACCUAGGAACUGCAUCCAAAACUGACAGACUAGAGUACGGUAGAGGUUAGUGGAAUUUCCUGUGUAGCGGUGAAAUGCGUAGAUAUAGGAAGGAACACCAGUGGCGAAGGCGACUGACUGGACUGAUACUGACGCUGAGGUGCGAAAGCGUGGGGAGCAAACAGGAUUAGAUACCCCCGUAGUC
RNAcentral lists this ribosomal RNA (461 nucleotides) under uncultured bacterium. RNAcentral's name for it is "bacterial SSU rRNA". It matches the Rfam family "Bacterial small subunit ribosomal RNA", at positions 338 to 795 of the family's 1533-position model. The record is from RNAcentral.